This 92-nucleotide transfer RNA is filed under the name Cytophagales bacterium. RNAcentral's name for it is "tRNA-Ser". It matches the Rfam family "tRNA". From Rfam's summary of the family: Transfer RNA (tRNA) molecules are approximately 80 nucleotides in length. Their secondary structure includes four short double-helical elements and three loops (D, anti-codon, and T loops). Further hydrogen bonds mediate the characteristic L-shaped molecular structure. tRNAs have two regions of fundamental functional importance: the anti-codon, which is responsible for specific mRNA codon recognition, and the 3' end, to which the tRNAs corresponding amino acid is attached (by aminoacyl-tRNA synthetases). tRNAs cope with the degeneracy of the genetic code in two manners: having more than one tRNA (with a specific anti-codon) for a particular amino acid; and 'wobble' base-pairing, i.e. permitting non-standard base-pairing at the 3rd anti-codon position. The record is from RNAcentral. Lineage: Bacteria; Pseudomonadati; Bacteroidota; Cytophagia; Cytophagales.
GGAGAGAUGGGUGAGUGGCUGAAACCAGUAGUUUGCUAAACUGCCGCACGGGUUAUUCUGUGUCGCGGGUUCGAAUCCCGCUCUCUCCGCAA